GACUCGUCACACUAUCAUUAACUGAAUCCAUAGGUUAAUGAGGCGAACCGGGGGAACUGAAACAUCUAAGUACCCCGAGGAAAAGAAAUCAACCGAGAUUCCCCCAGUAGCGGCGAGCGAACGGGGAGGAGCCCAGAGCCUGAAUCAGCAUGUGUGUUAGUGGAAGCGUCUGGAAAGGCGCGCGAUACAGGGUGACAGCCCCGUACACAAAAGCGCAUGUGCUGUGAGCUCGAUGAGUAGGGCGGGACACGUGGUAUCCUGUCUGAAUAUGGGGGGACCAUCCUCCAAGGCUAAAUACUCCUGACUGACCGAUAGUGAACCAGUACCGUGAGGGAAAGGCGAAAAGAACCCCGGCGAGGGGAGUGAAAAAGAACCUGAAACCGUGUACGUACAAGCAGUGGGAGCACCCUUUGGGGUGUGACUGCGUACCUUUUGUAUAAUGGGUCAGCGACUUAUAUUCUGUAGCAAGGUUAACCGAAUAGGGGAGCCGGAGGGAAACCGAGUCUUAAUUGGGCGUUAAGUUGCAGGGUAUAGACCCGAAACCCGGUGAUCUAGCCAUGGGCAGGUUGAAGGUUGGGUAACACUAACUGGAGGACCGAACCGACUAAUGUUGAAAAAUUAGCGGAUGACCUGUGGCUGGGGGUGAAAGGCCAAUCAAACCGGGAGAUAGCUGGUUCUCCCCGAAAGCUAUUUAGGUAGCGCCUCGUGAAUUCAUCUCCGGGGGUAGAGCACUGUUUCGGCUAGGGGGCCAUCCCGGCUUACCAACCCGAUGCAAACUGCGAAUACCGGAGAAUGUUAUCACGGGAGACACACGGCGGGUGCUAACGUCCGUCGUGAAGAGGGAAACAACCCAGACCGCCAGCUAAGGUCCCAAAGUCAUGGUUAAGUGGGAAACGAUGUGGGAAGGCCCAGACAGCCAGGAUGUUGGCUUAGAAGCAGCCAUCAUUUAAAGAAAGCGUAAUAGCUCACUGGUCGAGUCGGCCUGCGCGGAAGAUGUAACGGGGCUAAACCAUG
RNAcentral lists this ribosomal RNA (1014 nucleotides) under Salmonella enterica. Its description in RNAcentral is "partial 23S ribosomal RNA". It matches the Rfam family "Bacterial large subunit ribosomal RNA", at positions 137 to 1191 of the family's 2925-position model. RNAcentral also lists the same sequence under 3 other names. Lineage: Bacteria; Pseudomonadati; Pseudomonadota; Gammaproteobacteria; Enterobacterales; Enterobacteriaceae. The record is from RNAcentral.